Molecule: ribosomal RNA, 439 nt
Filed under: uncultured bacterium
Lineage: Bacteria
Description: bacterial SSU rRNA
Rfam family: Bacterial small subunit ribosomal RNA
Source: RNAcentral
GAUGAACGCUGGCGGUAUGCCUAACACAUGCAAGUCGUACGAGAGUUUUUAACUCUAGUGGCGACGGGUGAGUAACACGUGAGAAUUUGCCUUUAGGAGGGGGAUAACAAUUGGAAACGAAUGCUAAUACCCCAUAUGCUUUUGAGUGAAAUGGAUUUUAUCCGCCUAGAGAGAAGCUCGCGGCUGAUUAGCUUGUUGGUAAGGUAAGAGCUUACCAAGGCGACGAUCAGUAUCUGGUUUGAGAGGACGAUCAGACACACUGGAACUGAGACACGGUCCAGACUCCUACGGGAGGCAGCAGUGGGGAAUUUUCCGCAAUGGGCGAAAGCCUGACGGAGCAAUACCGCGUGAGGGAAGAAUGCCUAUGGGUUAUAAACCUCUUUUUCAGGGAGGAAUAAAAUGACGUGUACCUGAAGAAUAAGCAUCGGCUAACUCCGUG